This is an RNA transcript of Scylla paramamosain (green mud crab), 3337 nucleotides long. RefSeq lists it as uncharacterized. The transcript has 3 exons. NCBI's taxonomy places the organism in Eukaryota, Metazoa, Arthropoda, Malacostraca, Decapoda, Portunidae. The record is from RefSeq and is a predicted model, not a curated record.
AUGGCAGUGGCCAGCAUGACAGGAGACAUCAUGACACGCCUUACCAAAAAAGAAACCAUGAUCGAGGUGACAAUCUUGACCACCAUGACAGGAGACACCAUGACACACCUCACCGAAGAAGAAGCCAUGACCAAGGUGACAGUCCCGACCACCAUGACACACCUCACCGAAGAGGAAGCCAUGACCAAGGUGACAGGAGACACCAUGACACACCUCACCGAAGAGGAAGCCAUGACCAAGGUGACAGGAGACACCAUGACACACCUCACCGAAGAAGAAGCCAUGACCAAGGUGACAGGAGACAUCAUGACACACCUUACCGAAGAAGAAGCCAUGACCAAGGUGACAGUCCCAACCACCUAUCUUACUAUAGUGACAGUCCCGACCAGCAUGACAAGAGGCACCAUGACACAUCUUACCGAAGAAGAAGCCAUGACCAAGGUGACAGUCCCGACCACCUAUCUUACUAUAGUGACAGUCCCGACCAGCAUGACAAGAGGCACCAUGACACACUUUACCGAAGAAGAAGCCAUGACCAAGGUGACAGGAGACAGCUUGACACACCUGACCGAAGUGAUAGCCCUGGCCAGCAGGAGAGGAGAUAUGAAAAACACUAUCAAAAUAGAAGUCAUGACCACUAUGACUGGGACAAUAGACGUGAUAGACACAACCAGAGAGACAACAAGAGCAGGUGUGACCCUUGUAAUGACAAUCAAAAGAAUCACAAAGGUAGCCAGGAAGAUGCUGAAUCCAGCUUCCCUCUAACUAAAGCUUACGUCCACGUGGCAAUGCCUGCCUGCCUAGGCCCCUUGAGCCCCAGUCAAGAGACGAGCACCCGUGCAGUCAGGCAGAGGAUCUCUUUAAUCUGAUGAAGACUGCGGUAUGACAACAUGAGACCACUGAUUCUAGCCGGAAGGAGGGGUAGACAUGACCAUCUGGUGUAGCCGUAUGUACUUCCCUGGCAAACUGACAGCCAUGGAUCCAAAGCUCCCAAUGUACCUUGUAUGUCUGGCAGUGGUGUACUGCCAGGUGCAACGGGCUAUGCCCGAUGAAAUUCCUCAUCUUCUGUCACAGGCAGUUUACUCGUCUUUUGCAAAAGUGGAGAAAAUGUCGGCGGGCAAACAACUCGCUUCUGCCCGCUAGAGUGGAUGGAGCCUUAUAUUGCAUGGCAUAAAUUUCAGAAGCGAGUGUUACAACUUCUGCUGGACAUCAGGAAAACUGUUUCGGAUACGAGCACAUGUGGUGGUAAACCAGCUGACACAGCUUGUACUCUUACAAUCAAACGGAAUAAUUCCCUGGAAGAAGUGCAGAAUCUAGAGGAUGAAUUGGUUAAUCCCAGUUAUUUCAUGGAAGUGUGCAACCAGUGCGUCCGCAUAGGUGGCUAUAAUAAGAGAGAUAUGGUCUCUAAUUUGAUGUGCAGGUUUAUGACCAAAAACCUCAUGUGUCAGUAUAACAUGCUUGGGCAGAGAGGCAAGUUGUCUUUUAGAAAAACAAAGUUAUACAAUGUGAUUCAGGAGAGUGUGCUUAAAAAGUUCUCAGAUUCAAAUGUGACAGAAAUACAAAUGAUAGUUGCAGCAAAAUUGCGUAAUGCUCCAAAAUUGAAAAAUGAAAAUUAGCUGAUGUAAAAUGGUACUUACAAUCAGUUAAGAUCUGCAAGAAUGUUAAAACAAACCAAUCUUUGUCUCAUGCAUGACCUUGGUGAAGUAAAGUAUUUUCAUACCAAGAUGAACUGCAAUAGCGCAGUGAAAAAUCUAGUCAUACCCACUGCCACCAGGAGUCUAACCCGGGUCUCUUGAGUGAGAGCCAGACAGCAAGACCACUACACCACUGUGGUGUAGGGGUCUUGCUGCCUGGCUCUCACUCAAGAGACCCGGGUUCGACUUCUGGUGGCAGUGGGUAUGACUAGAUAAAGUAUUUUCAUUUUGUAUGUUACUAAAAAAAUGCUGGUAAAUUUAUCUCAUGACUGAUUGUACACAGAUGACCUUAUAUAUUGUAACUAUGUGUACAUUUCCCUUCCUCCCCCCUCUCUCUCUCUCUUAAAGAAGCUCUUUUUCUAUCAGAAUGACAAAAUUUAUUGAUGUGUAAACAGUAUAAGGGGGGAUGUUAGAGAAGCUUAAGAAUGAAAGAACCAGGACCGCCGAGAACCGAACCUCAGACAAGCUGUUCCCGCCACCACGCUAACCUGGUCCUGGUUCUUUCAACUUGUCGUUAUGGGAUUCAAGCUUAAGAAUGGUUUUAAGAUGUGGAGAGAGACUUACUGCUGUAAAAUUUGAACCGAUUGGGAUAUUACCUCAUGAUAUUUAUGUGAGAUGAUAUUAAUGAUCUCAGAUUAUAAAAGCAAACUAGUAUUAUUAACAGUGAUUUAUUUUGUAAUUUAGUAAUAGAUAUAACAUUUUAAUUUAUAAUUUUGCUUUUGCCUACCACUUAGGUUCCCAUGUAUUUUUACGUAAAUGAAAAAGUAUGGAGCUACACAAGUAUCAAUUCACAAAAUGCUUAAUUUCAUUGACAACUGUGGUCUGUAUUGUUUUAAGCAUAUUGUGUACUUGUGGCAGGCCUGGUAUUCUUUGCAUAUAUUCCCCCUGGGGCUACAUAGAUACUAGAAUGUAGCCCUCUCCAUGUCGGCUGUGUGCCGUAAGAGGCGACUGAUUCUGGCCCUGGGUGGGGAUCUCUUUUACUAGCCCAUAGCAGGUCUUUUUACCGCUUGACAUAUUUUCCCUUCUCAUUUCCCUUUGCUUUCUGUCCAUUUUCUUUUACGUUCUCUUACUUUUCCGAGUGGUGGGCUGACUCUUUGUCAGAGUGAGGGUUGGUGUCCUUUACUUCCCAUAGCCAUUUCUGUCUUUCUCUUGUUCUAUAUACCUCUACUGUUUAGGGUGACACUAGGCUGGGGAUCUGCCCAUUCUUCUCUACCUUUUAUAGUCCCACUUGUGGCACAUGCCCAGGGAUAAUGCUAGGCACAAGUGCCAUGGGAACCCAUUUAUUGAGUCGUGGCCCGGGAUGGCGGAUGGUCACCCUCACAGUUCAAGGGUGGUUUCUGCUGUUCUGGACCAUGGCAUGGGGAGGUAAUGCAUAGGAGCAGGUGUCAGGCUAUGGAUGGAUUGUGGCUAAACAAAGUUUUAAUUUUUUGUAUUACUGGGAUCAUCCAUUUAUAUAUUGCAGUUAUUCUUCAUUCAAGUCAGAUAUCUUGAAAGCCUUUAUAUAUAAAAAUGCAAGCACUAACUUUUUUUUUUUUCAUAAAAUAUGGAAAUUAUUUUGGUUUUGAUAUUUUUACAAGGAUGAAGAUUAUUAAAUUUAUGAAAAAGUGUAAGACUGAAGAAUAUAUAUAUACACACUUUCUGUA